This 72-nucleotide transfer RNA is filed under the name Nicotiana sylvestris (wood tobacco). It matches the Rfam family "tRNA". Rfam says of the family: Transfer RNA (tRNA) molecules are approximately 80 nucleotides in length. Their secondary structure includes four short double-helical elements and three loops (D, anti-codon, and T loops). Further hydrogen bonds mediate the characteristic L-shaped molecular structure. tRNAs have two regions of fundamental functional importance: the anti-codon, which is responsible for specific mRNA codon recognition, and the 3' end, to which the tRNAs corresponding amino acid is attached (by aminoacyl-tRNA synthetases). tRNAs cope with the degeneracy of the genetic code in two manners: having more than one tRNA (with a specific anti-codon) for a particular amino acid; and 'wobble' base-pairing, i.e. permitting non-standard base-pairing at the 3rd anti-codon position. The record is from Rfam by way of RNAcentral. Lineage: Eukaryota; Viridiplantae; Streptophyta; Magnoliopsida; Solanales; Solanaceae.
UCCUUAGUAGCUUACUGGUAGAGCGGUCGACUGUUAACCGAUUGGUUGUAGGUUCUUUUUUAACUUGAAGAA